Passer domesticus (house sparrow) is the source of this 461-nucleotide long non-coding RNA. RefSeq lists it as uncharacterized. The transcript has 3 exons. The record is from RefSeq and is a predicted model, not a curated record. Lineage: Eukaryota; Metazoa; Chordata; Aves; Passeriformes; Passeridae.
CUGAUGGUGCAGAGGGGCCCAGGGCCUCACCUGCCUCUGAGGUCAGGGGGAGCUGAGACACCCAACACCUGGCAAGAUGGAGCCCAAAAACAUUACCAAACUGAUACCUUGGGGUUUAAGUUUUUCUGUUCUGUUUUGGUGUGCAGAUUUCAGCUUUUUAUUAAGUAGGAUCUUUUCACAGAGUGGCGAAGAUAAAACAAUCCUGUUCUAGCUGGAGACUUAAGGACAAUCCCUUCAAACUUCAGGCCCAAAGCACAAAUAACAUGAAAAAAGGAGGGAAGUAUCAAGGUACUUGGAGAAGUCGGCAUCUUAAUAUACGAUAACUUUCAGGGCAGGAGGGAGAUGGCAGAUUAGCAACAUUAGGAAGAAGCCUGGGACAUCUCUUUGGAAGGCAGAAUAUUUCAGCUACAGCGAGGGCUCACUUUGAUUCUUUUGUAAAAGCCAUCAGUCAUCAGGCAGCA